RNAcentral lists this small RNA (126 nucleotides) under Marmota monax (woodchuck). The record is from RNAcentral. Lineage: Eukaryota; Metazoa; Chordata; Mammalia; Rodentia; Sciuridae.
GCUGGGUGCAGGGGCACACACCUGUUAUCCAGCUACUUGGGAGGCUGAGACAGGAGGAUCUCAAGUUUGAGACCAGCCUUCACAACUUAGUGAGGCCCUAAGUAACUCAGUGAGACCCUGUCUCUA